CUGCUAUAGAACAACCUGCUGCCACCCCAUCUGCUGUGGCCAUUAUGAUCAUUCAAUGUCCUGCUCUAGGUCCAUGAACCUUCUUGUCUUGAUCCUUCCUUCCAGGCAGAGAGCAUCUAUUCACAGAACAUGUGGACUUCUUGAUGUCAUGAACUUACAAACAGACCCAUGCAUUGAUUCAGAAAACCCCAGGCUCCGUAUUAUUUAUUCUCUUUUAUAGGAACUUUUAUUGCUAGUGAAUCAUAAUUUACAGCCAGAUUUUGCAUCAAAUUGUUUUAGAAUUUCUAAUUCUGAUUCAAAAUACAGAAGUCUUCUAAUAUUCCCCUUCUAGCUUUUUUCUUCCCAAUGUUUUUCUGUGGAAUCCAUUUUCAUGUGGAAUUGUCUGAUGAUCUCCAAUAAAACUUCUUAUCAUUCAGAGGCACCAAAAUUGCUCAUCUCAUUAUUUGUUAAUAAUGAAAUGGUCUGUGCAUAUUUCUAUCUCUUUUCCUGUGCAACACAGGAGUACAUGUUAUCAGGAGACCGUACAAUAGAAAAAUUAAAAUGGUAUUCACCGGUGAGAUUUUAAUCCAAAAUGGAAUUCAGUUCCACAGCAGAAAUAGGAAAAUGUUUACAGGGAGGCAUCACUGAACAUAACACAUGUAACAUGAGACCUGUGAAUUGCAAUUGUCUCCAAAAGAGAAAGUCCUCAAUAAACUACACUCCGUGAAUUGAUUUAAACCAAUCUACAUAGUGGAAGCUCAGUGUAUACAAUAGUCCAUGGACUUGAGAAUUAGAGCUUUGGCUGAAUUCUGAUUGUACUGCACACCAACAAUGGUCUUGGAUAUGUCGCUUCAACUCUCUCAAACUAGGAUUGCUUUUCUCUAGAGAACGGAUCACAAUGCCUGCUUAUUAAGAUGUUCAUAAAAACUCAACAAGUAAAGGUGCAUGGUGGGGUAAUGAAAGAAUGCUCCCUUUUACUUCCAAGUAGCAUCAUAUGUAUGCCUGUGUGUGUGUUACUUUUUAUUUCAAAAUAACUAUAGAUUCAGGGCCAGGCGCGGUGGCUCAUGCCUGUAAUCCCAGCACUUUGGGAGGCCUAGGUGGGCGGAUCAUGAGGUCAGGAGGUAGAGACCAUUCUGACUAACACAGUGAAACCCUGUCUCUACUAAAAAUACAAAAAAUUAGCCAGGCAUGGUGGCACGCACCUGUAGUCCCAGCUACUUGGGAGGCUGAGGCAGGAGAAUUGCCUGAACCUGGGCGGACAGAAGUUGCAGUAAGCCAAGAUCAUGCCACUGCCCUCCAGCCUGGGCGACAGAGCAAGACUCCGUCUCAAAACAAAAACAAAAA
RNAcentral lists this long non-coding RNA (1323 nucleotides) under Macaca fascicularis (crab-eating macaque). RNAcentral describes it as "lncRNA (ENSMFAG00000057131.1)". The record is from RNAcentral. Lineage: Eukaryota; Metazoa; Chordata; Mammalia; Primates; Cercopithecidae.